RNAcentral lists this ribosomal RNA (466 nucleotides) under uncultured bacterium. Its description in RNAcentral is "bacterial SSU rRNA". It matches the Rfam family "Bacterial small subunit ribosomal RNA", at positions 29 to 532 of the family's 1533-position model. The record is from RNAcentral.
AACGAACGCUGGCGGCAUGCCUAACACAUGCAAGUCGAACGAGACCUUCGGGUCUAGUGGCGCACGGGUGCGUAACGCGUGGGAACCUGCCUUUAGGUUCGGAAUAACUCAGAGAAAUUUGAGCUAAUACCGGAUAAUGUCUUCGGACCAAAGAUUUAUCGCCUUUAGAUGGGCCCGCGUUGGAUUAGCUAGUUGGUGGGGUAAAGCCUACCAAGGCGACGAUCCAUAGCUGGUCUGAGAGGAUGAUCAGCCACACUGGGACUGAGACACGGCCCAGACUCCUACGGGAGGCAGCAGUGGGGAAUAUUGGGACAAAUGGGCGAAAGCCUGAUCCAGCGAAUGCCGCGUGAGUGAUGAAGGCCUUAGGGUUGUAAAGCUCUUUUACCCAAGAUGAUAAUGACAGUAUACGGGAGAAUUAAAGCUCCGGACUAACUCCGUGCCAGCAGCCGCGGUAAUGUGACUACUG